Molecule: long non-coding RNA, 1066 nt
Filed under: Cricetulus griseus (Chinese hamster)
Lineage: Eukaryota; Metazoa; Chordata; Mammalia; Rodentia; Cricetidae
Description: lncRNA (ENSCGRG00015037104.1)
Source: RNAcentral
CGUGAAUUUGUCCCUGUUGCCGCUAGGCGCUGGGCCGCCACCAGGGGUCAGGGCGAAAGCCAGAUAUAAGAGCGUUCAGACUGGUCCAAUUUCCAAGCGUGACUUUGGCCCCCUGAGCGCCCUUUAAUUUCAGCACCGCCUACAGGCCACAACCCCAGAAACGUAGGUAACAAAGAGGGCCCUAAGAGAGACUUACAUGGAUCCGCCUAGCAAGGGGAAAAAGACAAGAAAGACCUCCUGCGUAAAUUGGUAUUGCUAUCUGGUACCAGCCCAGUGGUCAAGGCCACCGAUUGCUCUUCCAGAGGAUCUGGAUUCAAUCUUCUCAGCACCCACAUGGUGAUGGUGAUUCGAAACUGUCUGAAACUCCAGUUCUGGGGAUUCUGAUGCUUUUUCUGGUCUCCUUGAGCAUGAGGCACACAUACAGUAGACAUACAUAUGUAGUCAGAAGUUUCUGUCCUUCAGCCACUCCCAAAUAACCACUCGGAAACAAUGUUAUUUAUAAACGCGUGGCUGAUAGCUCAGGCUUGUAACUAACUUUUGCAUUUCAAUUAACCCAUCUGCAUAUAUUAUGGACUGGUGGAAGGGUAUGAGGAAGAAUCUGGCUCCUCCAGCUUCAGCGGAUCUAAUGCUCUCUUCUGGCUUUCUUGGGCAUCUGUAUGUGUGAGGUGCACACACACACACACACACACACACACACACACACACACACACACACACACAAAAAGUAAAUCUUAAAAAAAAGAAAAUCUAUGGGCUGGAGAGCUGGCUCAGUGGUUAAGAGCACUGGCUGCUCUUCCAGAGGUCCUGAGUUCCAUUCCCAGCAACCACAUGGUGGAUCACAGCCAUCCACAAUGAGAUUGGGUGCCUUCUUCUGGCCCGCAGGCAUACAUGCAGACAAAACCCUAUAUAUAGAAGAAAUAAAUAAAUCUUAAAAAAAAAUCUAAAAUCUGCCAAUCAAUGAUCAGAAUGAUAAUUUUUUCAGGAUGUAAAGUCAACGUUAAAAUCAGUUGUAUAUAAUUAGUACCAGACCCUGGAUUUGAGCUCUAGUCUUCAGGCUUGCAGGAAG